CACAAUGUCAACUGGGAGGACAGGAGGAAAUGUGAUGUCUGCCAGUGAGUAGGCAAGGCUGAGCAGUCACCAUGAGCACGAAGGCAAGCGGGAGCUGGCUUGACCCUGUCCAUCUGAGCACUAUUCAUCUCAGCUCAGGGAGGCCCAGACGGACAGACCCUGGUUUUGAGAAGGGGCCCCAAGAGGUCUUCUACUUCUUUGGCAGCACUGUGUUGAUGGCUGCAGGCUUUGCUGUGAGCUCCCAGCAGACAUGAUCAUCUCUGAGCUCCUUCUACUUCUGGGCUGCCUCCAGAACCCAUCGUAAUGGGGCAAGAUGGGGGAGUGGGUUCCACACUGCCAUGAAACGUGUCCCUGUAGGAGCCAGGGCUUUUGAUCAGAUCAGUGUGUGAGCUUCACACAGACACAGAGGAGGAAUCCCACUGAGCUCCUGUACCUCCAUGCCAAGGUCAGGGACCAGGCGGGGAUGCAUGGUUGGUUGCUGGCUCUGUGAUCCUUAGCCAGGGCGAAACACUUUGAAUCUCUGUCAGUCUUGAGCCAGGGGUAAGAUGGCAAAGGUAAGAAAGCUCCUCUGUGCUGGGUGACCCGACUUGUGGGCUCCCGACAUACAUCUGCUUUGCUUUCGGGCACACACACGUGCACCUCUGUGGGGUGGGGUUGGCUUGGGAAACAUGGCUUGCCUGGCUUCCUUGGAUGGUGAUGCUGUAGCUUAAGUCUGUCAUGCUGCCCUGACACUCUCCCCCUCCCCUCCCCCUCCCUCCCCUCCUCCUCUUCCCUUCCCCUCCUCUCCUUCUCCCCCUCCCACUCCCCCCUCCCCUUCCCCUUUCCCUGUGACUUGCCCGGAUCCUGUACAGAAGGAUCCCGAAGACCCUUUCUAUUCCUGCAGAGCACAUCCCAUUCCCUGUGGCCACCAGCUUCUUUCUCAGACGACAGCCAUUUUCAAGUGCUAGCAGGUGUUCCUCAUGUUGCUCUUCCUACUUCUGAAGGCUCAGAGUCUGUCGGGAGUGGCUCAAGUCAUCCCAGGACGGCGAAUGGAUGUACUCCACAAAGAACUCUGCCACUGGUAUGAUGUCUGCGAUCAUACUAGGGCCACAGGACAUCUGAGAUGUGCGGCCAGUCUGCUGUAAGCAGAGCACCCCUGUGACCCAGACUUUGAAAUCCACACUGAGUCCCAGAUCUGCUUAUUAAAGUCCUGGGGCAGGGGACAACUCAAGAACUAGGACCAAAGGUGAGGAGAGGGCCAAGUGGGAGGCACCGACCAGAAAUGAGUGGCUGAUAUCCAUGGUGUGCCUAGGAUACCCUGAGACAAGACUGAUCGGAAGGAGAAAUCCCUGGAAGAUCCACACAGAAAGGGUAGCUUCUGUUUGGGGAGUGCAAAGGGCUACCAUAGAGAUCCCUGAACAACACAUAUUGGGAAUGGUUGUGGCCUGUCAGCCUCAGUUGCUCGGAAAGAGGGCUUCCAGCUUUGCUUUGCUUUCCAGGGUUGUUCAUUUCUGCAUGGAUGAUGGGUGCCCUGGUAUUUGGAACAGAGCUUGGCGCUGUCUGGGCACCCAGUACAUGUUUCUGUGGAGAUGAAAUGAAUGAACCCAUGCCAGCAGAGAAUCUGUCCUUGGACAUUGUGAAUCGACUUCUGUCUAUGUCCCAGGAGGCUGGCCGGACUUUAGUAGCUCAUACAGUCUUAGCUCACUGGGGAAACAUCUGGGUUAGAUGCCAGGAAAAGAGGUGCUGUCCAUCUGCUUUGUCACCCUGGGCAGGACGUACAGGCUGCCAAGGUGCUUUUGUGUGUUGGAGGUGGCAUGGGAUUGUCACUCACAGAACGCUGUCAGCGUUUGGCUCCAGCCUUGACAAGCGGUACAGGAAACACUCGUGAAAUGGGUUUGUUCAUUUACCACGCCAAGGCCAUUUCUCUCCCUUCCCGGGGAAUAGGAGACCCAGGAGGAUCCACAACCUAUGGCUGUCUUGACCUCUCUAGAGGGCAGUCGCUUGCUCCCAGACUCCUGAGCUUCUCCGGCAAGGCGGUUGCAGCCUGGCUCGACUGCCGUGACAACAGAUAGGUCCUUGGAAAGCUGGGGGGUGGGGUGGGGUGCAGCCAUUCUUGCCUGGCACUGUGAGUGAGGGAUUGAGAACAGUCAGGAAGCCCCUGCGCUCUGCCUGGGCUGGGCUGGCACUGGAGUUAAGCAGGGCGGUGGCAGGCAUCUUCUGCCUCUUCCACAGGUAAGCCUGCCUAUGGCUUUUCCCUCUUCACCUUCCAGGUUUGCUUUAUUGACCUGGAGCUUGCCAAGAAGGGAGGAAUCUUGACAUACGGAUGUGCUGGCUCAACAGUCUCUUGGUGUCAGGGAAUAAAUCAGCCCUGAUUGGCCUCUCUCGCAGCCGAUGUAGACAAACAACCAAGCAGUUCAAUUUUAGCAUUUUCAACAACAGACUCCAACACGAAGCUCUCACCUGGUGCCAGGCCCCAGUUGACAGUGUACACCAGGAAGUCCCAGUGAGACCAGAGUACUUUCUCUGGGGGCUGCAGGUAAGAGUUCUGCACAAAGAGCGUGGUAUGACAGCAGCUAGAGCAUCAGGUCCUGGGGGUCAAAUAUGAUGCUCUGAGGUUCCAGAGGUCAAAGGUGAAAUCUAAAAAGGUACGAAGAAGACUCCACUGUCUGCUCGCUGGAGCUGCAGACUGAAGUCUGGCGCCUUCAUGGGCUGUGGAAACUGGUGACUUGUUCAGCCAGAAGAUAGAGGAGUGUGUGGCCUUGACAGGGUAGCAAUCUGUGGGCCACAUGGAGGAGGAUUCAUCGUGGCAAGGAAUGUAUUGGGCCUGGUGGAAUGUGACUCCUCCCUGUACAGCUGUUCCACCCUGAGCAGGUCACCUGCCAUGUCUGUGUCCCAGCAUCUCUCGGUCUGAGGAUGUAUGAUGGGAUGGAACACAUGUGUGUGCUACUCUGUCUAGUCACCGUGCUGAGAUCAUCCUCCUCAGGAAAUGGGCAUGUGGAGAAGGGGACAGAUGCCUUUAGAUGGAGGAGACAUCGCUGGUCUGAUUGACACUCUGAAAGCGUGGUACAGAAUGUGUGAACAUGCAUAUGAGUACAUGUAAACAUGUAAGAACAUGCGUCAACAUACAUGAACGUGAUGUGAGUGUUGUGAGCCUGUGUGCAUGUACAGCUUGCUGCGUGGUGCAGUUGGUUGAGUGGUUCGGAACCUCUAGCUCUACAAGCACCUGAAGCUCUACACUGCAUUCAAGAUUCUGGAAUUUUCCACUGACAUGGUAAGGGGUGGUACCCUAGAGCCUUGUACUGAGCCUAGGCAGAACCGAAGACUGCUAAGUGCCAGUUACUCAGUCCUCAGAGACUCUGCUGCAGGUUCCCUGGCUGUCCCCACACAGAGGGGAGGCUCAAUACUGAGAGACAGUCAUGUGCUCAAGGGCUGUGUGGUGCAGGUGGGUAGACUUUGCGGACUGGAACCACUGGGUCAACUUUUAUCAACACUGUGACUAAAUACUUAAAGAAUUAUGUAUUUUGCUCAUACAUUCAGAAGGUUCAGUCCACAGCCACAUGCUCUUGUCUAGAACAUCAUGACGGCUUUGUGACAUGCUCCACACCAUGCUCUUGUCUAGGACAUCAUGAUGGCAGGAGGCUAUGACAGAUGCCAGUUAUUCAACCAUGACAGAAAGUAGAGAGGGAGCUACGGGAGGUGCAAGGAGCAGGGCUGCAGGCCACUCCCCUGAUGACAUGUCUCCCGUAGCUAGGCCUCACCCACCUUCCCCUGUCUGCCAAUACCACCAGUAUGAUGUUCUGACUCUAGCAAGGGAUUGUCCCUUUGGUUAGAGAUCCUGUGGUCUCUGGUAACGUCCUCACAGGCCCGGCUAUGAGUGUGCUUCUCUGAUCUAGGGGGGUCUCAAUCCAGUCAAAGAGACACUGAAGCCUGCCGUCCACACUCUCACUAAUCUACAGUGUGAUGGUCAGUUUUGAUUGUCAACUCAACACUAACAUCACCUGGGAAGAGAGGCCAGUGACGAUUUACCUAGACCAGGCUGCUCUGCGGAAUGUCCUCUUGACUACACUAAUUGAGAGGACUCAACCCACUGUGGUUGUCAGCUCUUCCAGGGCUCGGAGCCUGAGCUAUGCAGGAAUAGAGAAAAGCAAAAUCAGUCAGGCAUCCAUUUUCUCUCUGCUGUUGCCUGCGGCUGUGACUUGCUGCUUCACGUUCCCGCCUUGACUUUUUCCCUCUAAGUUGCUUCCUGUCAGGGUGUUUCGUCAUAGCAACAGAAAUGAAGGUAGGGUGUGGAGCUUCCGCAACAUUCCCAGGAACCUGCCUCCGUGACUGCCUAAGCCAAGAGGCUGUCGGCUGAGCCCCUGGCUUUGUGAAGUGUUCCACAGCACUGCAGGGCAGCGGGCGACAGCCGCAUCUGAGGCCAGGAUGAAUACGCAGAGUGAUGUGACGCUCCAGGUGGCUGUGCCAAAAUUAAAAUCUGCCUGCACAUAAGACGGUGCUCUUCAAGGGUUCGGAAAAAUCAAUCCUACCUCAGCUAGAAAUGACGGUUAAAGCACACUGGAUAUGCGUUAUCAAUACUGUGCCUACUUCCGGGAUGGCAGCGAAGCUAUUCAUAUCUUCACUUAAAGCCUGUAAUUCUUUCUGUACAGACACCUCUGGAACUCAAGUCAAUUCAUUAACAAUGCAUGGAAUGCAUUUACAGGCAGGCUUUCUGCCGGUUUAUGAAGUGAGUGUAAGGUAGGCUCUUCUCACAUGGGACCGGCACGGACUGUGGCCCCUUUCUGCAAUGAAGUCUAGACUCCAGCUGUUUGGAAGAUGGCAGGCCAGCUAUUCGGGGAGUGACCCAUGUGAUCUCACAGGGCGCCGCACUUAGGAAAGCCCUAUGCUGGGCUCUGUGCUUAACAGGUAUGGCUCAGGGAUUCUUAGUGUUGUAAAGAAGGAUUCCGUAGAAGACUAGGGGAAAUGGACAACCCCAUGCCUUCCACUCUACUCUAGACAGAGGCUAGCUCCUGGUCAGUUUAACACUCUUCCUCACACUGAAGUUUGUUUGCUGCUCCUAACACAGACAUCCUGCAGCACAAGCAGCAAUGGCAAACCUCAGACAGGCCAAAACUCACAGAAAACAAAAACAAAAUCACAACCUCCCCAAACUCUCCCAGCUCCCCACAAAAAAAAAAAAAAAAAAAAAAAAAAAAACCUGAGUCCCGAGGUCAGCAUCAGAGCAAGACUGAGAUAUAGAGCGGACUUGUAGUUAUGCAGGGAGUUAAACAGUGAGAUUAGUGUGCUCCUGGAAAGGCAGGUGUCAUGUCAAACAGGUAAUGGGAGCAGAGAGAGGGAGCCCCAGUGAGACUUGGAGGAUGGAAGGACAGAGAGGAUGCUGAGGACAGGGCCCUCAGCGGCAACAGAGAACUCCUACGUUGGGUCCUGAGGGGAACCAUCGAGUUUGAACUGCACACUGUAAGGCAGUAAAGGGACACAUAACAGAAUAUUCUGGAUGAACAGGAAAAUGUCAGAAGGCGUAACGUGAUGGAAAACCAAGAAGCAGUAUAAAGGACAGCAGUGGAGGGGACAUUUGAUGUCAUGGUGGCUGGGGACUUACUUGACUAACGUUAAGAAACUUGCAGGAGGUAACCACGAAAAGGAAAUCACGCAAUGAAACCAAACAGCAGCCUGUCCCUCCGCACAUCAAACACAAACUGCGGGAAACGGACUAAGGGAAAACCUUGAAAGCACACAGAGGAGGAGCCGUCACACGCGGAGAAGAGAGAGGUACACAUCCAGUAGGCUCCACAGCUGGGUAAGGAAGGGAGAGGAAGAGGACCAAGGAAAUGUAGGCGCUGAGCCUCUGCCAAAUACAAGUUCUGUAUCCAGUGUUAAAAUGAGUCCUUAAAAGUGGGGAGACAGAGGGGUUGGGGAUUUAGCUCAGCGGUAGAGCGCUUGCCUAGCGAGCGCAAGGCCCUGGGUUCGGUCCCCAGCCCCGGAAAAAAAAAAGAAAAAAAAGUGGGGAGACAGACUUCUCCAGACAAGCGAAACUCAGGGGGUUCACUGCUAGCCAAGGCGAUCUGCUACUGUCACCCUUUGUUUUCUGUUGCUCUGACUGACAGCCAAAAUAGCGUGGGGAGAAAGGACUUAUUAAAUGAUACGAGUUCAGGAGCUAGUCUACCACUGAAGGAAGUCAGGGCAGGAGCUGAAGCAGAGACCAGUGCACUCUCUCCGCCUUGCUCAGACACUUUUCUUAGACAGUUCAGGCCCGCCUGCCUAUGGACGGAGCGGGCCACAGUAGACUGGGAUCUCCUACAGCAAACCCCAGUAAUAACCGCAGGCCAACCUGAGAGAUCCAAUUCUCAAUCGAGAUUCCCUCUUCCCAUGUUGUGUCAAGUUGAAACUAAAGGCGAAUCACGGCAAUAUACCCCCUGUCAACUUAGAACAUUGGCAGAAGAUUCCUCAGAGAGAGCACAGAAUGUGUAUGAAGAAGUGGGGAGUCAGGGACAGGGAGAACAGAGUGAGCAGAAGAGGUCUGUCUCUCUCACCCUUAAGUGGUAAUGAAAGCUGAGUGUUUAAGGACAGCAGCAAUGCCGUGUGGGUGUGGUGUUUAAAGAACUGGGUUAUUAGGAACGAUGACAGUAAUGGGGAGGACAUGGGGCAGUAGCCUGAGGAGGACAUCAGGACACUAGCCUGAGGAGAGUGUGGAGCACUAGCCUGAGGAGGACAUCAGGACACUAGCCUGAGGAGAGUGUGGAGUACUAGCCUGAGGAGGACAUCAGGACACUAGCCUGAGGAGGGUGUGGAGCACUAGCCUGAGGGGAAUGUGGAGCACUAGCCUGAGGAGGAUAUCAGGACACUAGCCUGAGGAGGGUGUGGAGCACUAGCCUGAGGGGAAUGUGGAGCACUAGCCUGAGGGGAAUGUGGAGCACUAGCCUGAGGAGGGUGUGGACUAGCCUGAGGAGGACAUGGGGUACUCGACUUUAAAGGGAUCACUCUACUUUGAGUCACAAAAUGUCACCUUUAAGGUACACUAAGGGAACCAUUAAAAUAUUAUAGUAAUGGAUAGCUAGGCAUGAUGUUGUGUACAGCUAAUAUUAGCUUGCUAGAAGUUGAGACAGGAAGAUUAUGAGCUUAAGACAAGCCUAGGCUACAUGGUAAGACCUUGUCUUAAAAGAAUUGUACAUUAGGAAAGGAGAGACAAUGUAGUCACACCAAAGGUUAAAUAGAAAAUGUAGAUGGAAGGGAAGAAAAGGAUUACUGAAAACUAUAAAAACACUUUACAUGCCUGAUAGAUGGGGACACAAACAUAGUUAACAAUCACCUUCACAUUUUAUUUACUCAGGUGUGUGUGUGUGUGUGUGUGUGUGUGUGUGUGUGUGUGUGUGUGUGUAUGUGCCCAUGUAUGUGCAGUGUAAGUAGAACACAGAUGAUGGCAUUAGACUCCCUGGGAUUGGAGUUACAGAAGAUUGGGAGCCACUGUGUGGGUACUGGGGAGUGAAUCUUCAUAUCCACUAGAGUAGUUAGUGUUCUUAAACUCCGGGCCAUCUUUCCAGACCUCCAGUAGUCAUUUCUGAAGACAAAGUGUUUAAAUGCACCAAAUGAGGGGCAGUGACAACCAGAGUGGGGCUUUUAAAGCCCAACUGUAUGUCAAUGAUAGAAAUCCAAUUUAAGAACCAUUCAGAUGGCUUUAGUAAAGAGCGGGGAAAAACAGAACCACAGGAAUUUCCGUGUCAAUUCAGACAUGCAGGCGCCAGAGAACAGAUGAACAUGAGGUACAGAGAGGGUGCUGGGUGUCACCACUGCCCCAAGAAGACAGAGCAACCCAAGUCGCUGAGUUAGCAAGGAAUGAUGUGUAAUAAGUGGGGUACGACAUCCCUAAUAGAACUGCAAAGAGGAACAGAUAAACACACUCCUGUGCCUGGCCUCUUCAAAAUCUUCUCUCGGUAAUUGAUUGAUUAAGCAGGCAGGAAAUCAGUAAGGAUAUUGUUGAGCUGAAUAGCAUCAUCCAUCAAGUUGAUCUAAUUGACAUUUAGGGAAUUCUCCAUCUAAUAAGAGUGGCGAACACAUCCUCCUCAAGUGAUAUGGAUGACUCACUGAGACAGACUUCAGCCCAAGGCUCACAAUGACGCUUACAUUGUAGAAUCCACAUGGAACGAGUCCUUAGGCUGUAAAGGAACUAACAGUCACUGCAGGAAGAUCAGGGACUCUCCCUAAAUUUGGAGGGAACCCAACACUCCUUUAAAUAAUACAAGAGAAAUGAAUCUCAGGGGAACAUUAAAUUUUUUUUGAAUAAACGAAAAUAGUUUUUAAAAAGUCCAAAGCAUCAAGAUAUGCAUGGUACAGAGAAGGCAAGUGCUAAGUGGAAAUCUGCAACUGCAAACACACAUAUUGGGAAA
Molecule: non-coding RNA, 8357 nt
Organism: Rattus norvegicus (Norway rat)
Lineage: Eukaryota; Metazoa; Chordata; Mammalia; Rodentia; Muridae
Source: RefSeq, a predicted model, not a curated record